CUGGCUUUAUUUUCAAAUACGGGACCAACUCUAUCUUUGCUAAAAGAAUCUAUUUGGGGAAUCGACAGAACGUGCUCAAGCUUUUGAAGCAGACCCAAGAAAUUAAGUUACUUCACUGUUGAAUGAACUGAAGAAAAAGAAGAACUCUGACAAGAGGAAUUCUGGCAGAGAGGACUACAAAACAUCUAACAACCAACACCCUCCACACACCACCUUUAAGCACACC
This is a long non-coding RNA of Patiria miniata (bat star), 226 nucleotides long. RefSeq lists it as uncharacterized. The record is from RefSeq and is a predicted model, not a curated record. Lineage: Eukaryota; Metazoa; Echinodermata; Asteroidea; Valvatida; Asterinidae. The transcript is spliced from 3 exons.